AGCGUUGGCAUUUUGGGUUUGCCAAUUUAGCACUGCCUUAUACUGUUUUGGUGCUUCUGGUUGUCCUGAAGUUAUGAUUGGUGACUGAACAUAAGGCUGAGAGACAACUUUGGUCUGUAGAUCUGUAUGUCUUUCAAGUGGGGGAAAGGAUUCUUGGUAUGAUUGGCUAGAGGAUGAAAACAUCAAGCAUGACUUGAUUUUUGGUUGUACAGGAACAAGCUUAGAUGAGGAUUCUUUUUC
This 240-nucleotide long non-coding RNA is filed under the name Citrus sinensis (sweet orange). Its description in RNAcentral is "long non-coding RNA (CSIN_LNC004219)". Lineage: Eukaryota; Viridiplantae; Streptophyta; Magnoliopsida; Sapindales; Rutaceae. The record is from RNAcentral.